GAUUAAGUUAUUAAGGGCGCACGGUGGAUGCCUUGGCACUAGAAGCCGAAGAAGGACGUUACUAACGACGAUAUGCUUUGGGUAGCUGUAAGUAAGCGUUGAUCCAGAGAUUUCCGAAUGGGGGAACCCAACAUGAGUUAUGUCAUGUUAUCGACAUGUGAAUUCAUAGCAUGUCAGAAGGCAGACCCGGAGAACUGAAACAUCUUAGUACCCGGAGGAAGAGAAAGAAAAAUCGAUUCCCUGAGUAGCGGCGAGCGAAACGGGAAGAGCCCAAACCAACAAGCUUGCUUGUUGGGGUUGUAGGACACUCUAUACGGAGUUACAAAAGAACAUGUUAGACGAAUCAUCUGGAAAGAUGAAUCAAAGAAGGUAAUAAUCCUGUAGUCGAAAACAUAUUCUCUCUUGAGUGGAUCCUGAGUACGACGGAGCACGUGAAAUUCCGUCGGAAUCUAGGAGGACCAUCUCCUAAGGCUAAAUACUCUCUAGUGACCGAUAGUGAACCAGUACCGUGAGGGAAAGGUGAAAAGUACCCCGGAAGGGGAGUGAAAGAGAACUUGAAACCGUGUGCUUACAAGUAGUCAGAGCCCGUUUAUGGGUGAUGGCGUGCCUUUUGUAGAAUGAACCGGCGAGUUACGAUCUGAUGCAAGGUUAAGCAGCGAAUGUGGAGCCGUAGCGAAAGCGAGUCUGAAUAGGGCGUUGAGUAUUUGGUCGUAGACCCGAAACCAGGUGAUCUACCCUUGGUCAGGUUGAAGUUCAGGUAACACUGAAUGGAGGACCGAACCGACUUACGUUGAAAAGUGAGCGGAUGAACUGAGGGUAGCGGAGAAAUUCCAAUCGAACUUGGAGAUAGCUGGUUCUCUCCGAAAUAGCUUUAGGGCUAGCCUCAAGUGAUGAUUAUUGGAGGUAGAGCACUGUUUGGACGAGGGGCCCCUCUCGGGUUACCGAAUUCAGACAAACUCCGAAUGCCAAUCAAUUUAACUUGGGAGUCAGAACAUGGGUGAUAAGGUCCGUGUUCGAAAGGGAAACAGCCCAGACCACCAGCUAAGGUCCCAAAAUAUAUGUUAAGUGGAAAAGGAUGUGGCGUUGCCCAGACAACUAGGAUGUUGGCUUAGAAGCAGCCAUCAUUUAAAGAGUGCGUAAUAGCUCACUAGUCGAGUGACACUGCGCCGAAAAUGUACCGGGGCUAAACAUAUUACCGAAGCUGUGGAUUGUCCUUCGGACAAUGGUAGGAGAGCGUUCUAAGGGCGUUGAAGCAUGAUCGCAAGGACAUGUGGAGCGCUUAGAAGUGAGAAUGCCGGUGUGAGUAGCGAAAGACGGGUGAGAAUCCCGUCCACCGAUUGACUAAGGUUUCCAGAGGAAGGCUCGUCCGCUCUGGGUUAGUCGGGUCCUAAGCUGAGGCCGACAGGCGUAGGCGAUGGAUAACAGGUUGAUAUUCCUGUACCACCUAGUAUCGUUUUAAUCGAUGGGGGGACGCAGUAGGAUAGGCGAAGCGUGCUGUUGGAGUGCACGUCCAAGCAGUAAGGCUGAGUGUUAGGCAAAUCCGGCACUCGUUAGGCUGAGCUGUGAUGGGGAGAGGAAAUUGUUUCCUCGAGUCGUUGAUUUCACACUGCCGAGAAAAGCCUCUAGAUAGAUAACAGGUGCCCGUACCGCAAACCGACACAGGUAGUCAAGAUGAGAAUUCUAAGGUGAGCGAGCGAACUCUCGUUAAGGAACUCGGCAAAAUGACCCCGUAACUUCGGGAGAAGGGGUGCUCUUUAGGGUUCACGCCCAGAAGAGCCGCAGUGAAUAGGCCCAAGCGACUGUUUAUCAAAAACACAGGUCUCUGCUAAACCGUAAGGUGAUGUAUAGGGGCUGACGCCUGCCCGGUGCUGGAAGGUUAAGAGGAGUGGUUAGCUUCUGCGAAGCCACGAAUCGAAGCCCCAGUAAACGGCGGCCGUAACUAUAACGGUCCUAAGGUAGCGAAAUUCCUUGUCGGGUAAGUUCCGACCCGCACGAAAGGCGUAACGAUUUGGGCACUGUCUCAACGAGAGACUCGGUGAAAUCAUAGUACCUGUGAAGAUGCAGGUUACCCGCGACAGGACGGAAAGACCCCGUGGAGCUUUACUGUAGCCUGAUAUUGAAAUUCGGCACAGCUUGUACAGGAUAGGUAGGAGCCAUUGAAACGUGAGCGCUAGCUUACGUGGAGGCGUUGGUGGGAUACUACCCUAGCUGUGUUGGCUUUCUAACCCGCACCACUUAUCGUGGUGGGAGACAGUGUCAGGCGGGCAGUUUGACUGGGGCGGUCGCCUCCUAAAAGGUAACGGAGGCGCUCAAAGGUUCCCUCAGAAUGGUUGGAAAUCAUUCACAGAGUGUAAAGGCAUAAGGGAGCUUGACUGCGAGACCUACAAGUCGAGCAGGGUCGAAAGACGGACUUAGUGAUCCGGUGGUUCCGCAUGGAAGGGCCAUCGCUCAACGGAUAAAAGCUACCCCGGGGAUAACAGGCUUAUCUCCCCCAAGAGUUCACAUCGACGGGGAGGUUUGGCACCUCGAUGUCGGCUCAUCGCAUCCUGGGGCUGUAGUCGGUCCCAAGGGUUGGGCUGUUCGCCCAUUAAAGCGGUACGCGAGCUGGGUUCAGAACGUCGUGAGACAGUUCGGUCCCUAUCCGUCGUGGGCGUAGGAAAUUUGAGAGGAGCUGUCCUUAGUACGAGAGGACCGGGAUGGACAUACCUCUGGUGUACCAGUUGUCGUGCCAACGGCAUAGCUGGGUAGCUAUGUAUGGACGGGAUAAGUGCUGAAAGCAUCUAAGCAUGAAGCCCCCCUCAAGAUGAGAUUUCCCAACUUCGGUUAUAAGAUCCCUCGAAGAUGACGAGGUUAAUAGGUUCGAGGUGGAAGCGUGGUGACACGUGGAGCUGACGAAUACUAAUCGAUCGAAGACUUAAUCAA
This 2922-nucleotide ribosomal RNA is filed under the name Acinetobacter baumannii. RNAcentral's name for it is "23S ribosomal RNA". It matches the Rfam family "Bacterial large subunit ribosomal RNA". RNAcentral also lists the same sequence under 6 other names. The record is from RNAcentral. Lineage: Bacteria; Pseudomonadati; Pseudomonadota; Gammaproteobacteria; Moraxellales; Moraxellaceae.